Populus trichocarpa (black cottonwood) is the source of this 2041-nucleotide long non-coding RNA. RefSeq lists it as uncharacterized. The record is from RefSeq and is a predicted model, not a curated record. NCBI's taxonomy places the organism in Eukaryota, Viridiplantae, Streptophyta, Magnoliopsida, Malpighiales, Salicaceae. The transcript is spliced from 2 exons.
ACCCGAUACGUGGAUCGGCUUGCCCUUUCGAUAUCAACAGUUGUUCAGUUAGAUGGAACCAUAUGGGUAAUGAAGAGAAGACAGCGGCAGUUCAUCAAGAAAUUAAGAGGAUGAAUCAACUUCCUGCACCCAGCAGUUCUGUUUCUCAUCGUUUGCUGGUUCUUUAAUGAAAUUCUUCAACUUGUGUCCAUUCAGAGGACCGGCUCACAAGAUAAGGAAUUGGAGUUGCUUUUUGCUGGGUUGCAUCUGUGAUUGAUUUGCCAGUGCUAUAGCGAGUUGGCUUGAAAUUUGUUUGUUGGAAUUUGGUUUUGUUUGUAUUUGCCUCUUCUUUUUCUUGAGUUGAUGAAAUGGGUAUGAUGGAAGGUUUAGCUAUCUUGAAGAUUUGACAUGUGAUGUAAAUUCGGUUUUGGUUAUCGUUGAACUCAACUAGCUUCUUUGCAACAAUGUUUUGGAGUGAGCUAAAAAAUUUCCUGUCUUCUCCUCUGUGGUCUGAUUUUAAGUCAUUUUUCUUUUUGCAUCAUCUCAUGCAUUUCUGUGUAACUUUUUUCUUCAUUGUAGAGGUUGCCGUUAGCAGUCCGGGUCCUCGCCACAGUGAUUGAAGUUUUUCUGGUUCUAUUUUCAUGCGGGAUAUUGGUUGGUGUCAUAUCAGUGUCAUCUUUGCAUAUCAUAUUUUAGUUAUAAAGAAAAUUCUUUUAUGAUAUAUAGCCCUUUUGUAAUGCUUAUUAUCUCAUAGCCCAGGGCUUAAGAGAUGAAGAUCCCCUCUUUCUGUGUUUGAAGACUACAUUACCAUAUCACUUGUUAGGGCUUAGGAGAGCCUGUAAACUUCAGUAAGCGUUCUAGAUUACAAGAGGCAUUACCCUUUUCUGCUCAAUUUUUAUCUUCAAUUUUUGUUCUUUUCUUCUUACAUGUCAUAAAUGUGUACGAAGUGAAUGUUUCUAAUUGCCAAUGGAUGCUUUGCUUGCUCAUUUGUGAUCAUUUCAUAAGUAAUUCAUUUGUGUACCUUUCCUUAAUGAUUACGGGCUAUCACCAGGGCCUAAACAAACACAGAAGACCAAGGGCCAAAUAUUGCAUUUAUGCUGAGCUCCUCCUCUCUCCAUUUGUUGAUCAGAUUUCUACUCUACAUAUGUUCCCAUGCUCAUAAACUGUGUUGUUUGGAAGUUUUUGUUAUUCUCCUUAAUUUUGCAGACUUGUCAAAAUAAUGAGAAAAAACCAUUGGUUUACCAAGAUUAUUGCGUGUAAAGUUGUUAGAAAUGGUGCCCCUGCAUAGUAUCCUCUUUCCCUCUCCAGAUUCUUACCCCGUGACACUCUGACUUUGUUUUACUGUUCUCCAUUUAUCUUUCAAAUUGUGUAUGCUUAUUAUUCUUCCUGCUAGUUCAUGCUGCUUCUUCUUAGACUUGAUUCAUGUAAAUUCAAUCAACAUUCCAAUUUUAUUUCCCUUACCUGAUCAUAUAGUUAUAGCACUUCCUUCCCAUCAUUUUUUUUUUUGCAUUGAAUUUUCCUUGCAAAAGCCCAUCUUCAGGAACUGGAAGCAAAAAGAAUGUUAAUCCUCAACCCUCACCGUCUUUGAUAAAUUUGAUCUUGCAGGAUUAGCAUCAUCGCAGAAAGUUAAAUCCUCAGAUUGUAUCUCCAAGGCAUGAUGGACAUGGUUUGCCCUUGUAUGCAGUGCUGAAACAAAUGCCUCUCUGGUAGGCUGAAAUUUAAAUCUUGUGAACAUCUUCUGAAGCUGUUUUCUUUUCAUCAGAGUGCUCUGUAUCUUUUGUUUGACUAGGGCGUCUUUUCCCCCCGUCGUGUUAACUGACCACCUGUGGGAUUCCGAUAACUAGAGAUGCAUGAGUCCUUCAGUCAUGAACUUAGCUUCUGUUUUCUCUCUCUCUUUCCUUCUUUCAUUUUCUUUUCUCUGGUGGGGGGAAUGGGUUCUGUCAAAUUGUUAAUUCGCGUGUUACGAAGUUGCAGUUUUGUCUAUGAUGGAUGGAUUACUGAUUGGUGACGAUAACUGAUAUAUUUUAGCCCUAGUGAUCUAUCAGCAUAUAUGUUUGAUUAA